UACGUAGGUGGCAAGCGUUACUCGGAAUCACUAGGCGUAAAGCGCAGGUAGGUGGUUGGAUAAGUCUGCUGUGAAAGCUCCCGGCUUAACUGGGAGAGGUCAGCGGAAACUGUCUGGCUAGAGUAUGGCAGGGGAAACCGGAAUUCCAGGAGUAGCGGUGAAAUGCGUAGAUAUCUGGAGGAAUACCAAUGGCGAAAGCAGGUUUCUGGGCCAUUACUGACACUAAGCUGCGAAAGCUAGGGGAGCAAACAGG
RNAcentral lists this ribosomal RNA (253 nucleotides) under uncultured bacterium. RNAcentral describes it as "partial 16S ribosomal RNA". It matches the Rfam family "Bacterial small subunit ribosomal RNA", at positions 524 to 776 of the family's 1533-position model. The record is from RNAcentral.